GCCCCCGUAGUCUAGCCUGGACAGGAUACGGGCCUCCGGAGCCUGGGACCGGGGUUCGAAUCCCCGCGGGGGCG
RNAcentral lists this transfer RNA (74 nucleotides) under Candidatus Woesearchaeota archaeon. RNAcentral's name for it is "tRNA-Arg". It matches the Rfam family "tRNA". From Rfam's summary of the family: Transfer RNA (tRNA) molecules are approximately 80 nucleotides in length. Their secondary structure includes four short double-helical elements and three loops (D, anti-codon, and T loops). Further hydrogen bonds mediate the characteristic L-shaped molecular structure. tRNAs have two regions of fundamental functional importance: the anti-codon, which is responsible for specific mRNA codon recognition, and the 3' end, to which the tRNAs corresponding amino acid is attached (by aminoacyl-tRNA synthetases). tRNAs cope with the degeneracy of the genetic code in two manners: having more than one tRNA (with a specific anti-codon) for a particular amino acid; and 'wobble' base-pairing, i.e. permitting non-standard base-pairing at the 3rd anti-codon position. The record is from RNAcentral. Lineage: Archaea; Nanobdellati; Candidatus Woesearchaeota.